AUUGAACGCUGGCGGCAUGCUUUACACAUGCAAGUCGGACGGCAGCACAGAGAAGCUUGCUUCUUGGGUGGCGAGUGGCGAACGGGUGAGGAAUAUAUCGGAACGUACCGAGUAAUGGGGGAUAACUAAUCGAAAGAUUAGCUAAUACCGCAUAUUCUCUGAGGAGGAAAGCAGGGGACCUUCGGGCCUUGCGUUAUUCGAGCGGCCGAUAUCUGAUUAGCUAGUUGGUGGGGUAAAGGCCUACCAAGGCGACGAUCAGUAGCGGGUCUGAGAGGAUGAUCCGCCACACUGGGACUGAGACACGGCCCAGACUCCUACGGGAGGCAGCAGUGGGGAAUUUUGGACAAUGGGCGCAAGCCUGAUCCAGCCAUGCCGCGUGUCUGAAGAAGGCCUUCGGGUUGUAAAGGACUUUUGUCAGGGAAGAAAAGGCUGUUGCUAAUAUCGACAGUUGAUGACGGUACCUGAAGAAUAAGCACCGGCUAACUACGUG
Molecule: ribosomal RNA, 490 nt
Filed under: uncultured bacterium
Lineage: Bacteria
Description: partial 16S ribosomal RNA
Rfam family: Bacterial small subunit ribosomal RNA
Source: RNAcentral